Hordeum vulgare subsp. vulgare (domesticated barley) is the source of this 673-nucleotide long non-coding RNA. RefSeq lists it as uncharacterized. The transcript has 3 exons. NCBI's taxonomy places the organism in Eukaryota, Viridiplantae, Streptophyta, Magnoliopsida, Poales, Poaceae. The record is from RefSeq and is a predicted model, not a curated record.
CCCUUUCCGUCGAGCCAGGCAGAGGCGAGCGAGGUCGGCCGACGCUCGCGCGCGCGGGGAAGUGGAAGCGAGUUCGGCGGGCUGCCUUCCGCGCCUCCCCGAGGAGGAAUCGAAGGGCGGGCGCGUCGCCUCCGGCCAGCCUCUCCGUCGACGCGGACGGCGGACGAAGCAGCCCGAGGCCCGAGCGGCGAGGAGCAGGAGUCGGUGUCAGCAAACGAGCACGCUUCUGUCAGGCCGUUCGUCAUAGAGGUACAGUACUCUGACGGAGUUACCUUCUUCAGAGUGCAGAGGAGCAAAAUUGUUCUAAUCAGCAGCAGCACAACACAGUCACUUGGAUCAGCGGAAGAGGAGCAUCAGCAGCACGGGCAGAGGAGCAACAGGAGCUAGUUCUUCACGUACAAUGGAAAACAAGCAAGCUUAUAUCUGAAAAUUGAGUUAGCUAGGCUCACAAUUUUGAGUUGGCCCCUUUACAUAUGCUAUCUGAAAAAUGAGUUAGCUAGUCAUCUAAGUUGAGCUGAUUUUGAUUUCCGUAUGUUAUGGGGGGACAACAGAUAUUUCUAUAUGUUCAUUCUUGAGGGUACAGACUUGCUAAACUAUUGAUGAUUUUUUGUUGGGUGACCUAUUUUUGUCCAUAUGAAAGCAGAGGACCAUAUGGUCUGUGUCCUUUUCACCC